RNAcentral lists this ribosomal RNA (406 nucleotides) under uncultured bacterium. RNAcentral's name for it is "partial 16S ribosomal RNA". It matches the Rfam family "Bacterial small subunit ribosomal RNA", at positions 30 to 526 of the family's 1533-position model. The record is from RNAcentral.
AUUGAACGCUGGCGGCAGGCCUAACACAUGCAAGUCGAACGAGUGGCGGACGGGUGUGUAAUGUCUGGGACACUGCCUGAUGGAGGGGGAAAACUACUGGAAACGGUAGCUAAUACCGCAUACCAUCAGAUGUGCCCAUAUGGGAUUAGCUUGUUGGUGGGGUAACGGCUCACCAAGGCGACGAUCCCUAGCUGGUCUGAGAGGAUGACCAGCCACACUGGAACUGAGACACGGUCCAGACUCCUACGGGAGGCAGCAGUGGGGAAUAUUGCACAAUGGGCGCAAGCCUGAUGCAGCCAUGCCGCGGGUAUGAAGAAGGCCUUCGGGUUGUAAAGUACUUUCAGCGGGGAGGCGUUACCCGCAGAAGAAGCACCGACUAACUCCGUGCCAGCCGCCGCGGUAAUUC